UUGAUCCGGAGAUUUCCGAAUGGGGAAACCCAGCAUCUUUUAUAGGAUGUUACUUUUCAGUGAAUACAUAGCUGAUUAGAGGUAGACGCAGAGAACUGAAACAUCUAAGUACCUGCAGGAAGAGAAAGAAAAUUCGAUUCCCUGAGUAGCGGCGAGCGAAACGGGAAAAGCCCAAACCAAGAGGCUUGCCUCUUGGGGUUGUAGGACUCCGAUAUGGUAGUCCAGUGAGAUAGUCGAAGGACCUGGAAAGGUCUGCUAGAAAGGGUAAAAGCCCCGUAGACAAAAUUUGACUGGCACCUAGGAGGAUCCUGAGUACGGCGGAACACGAGGAAUUCCGUCGGAAUCCGGGAGGACCAUCUCCCAAGGCUAAAUACUCCCUAGUGACCGAUAGUGAACCAGUACCGUGAGGGAAAGGUGAAAAGCACCCCGGAAGGGGAGUGAAAUAGAUCCUGAAACCGUGUGCCUACAACAAGUUAGAGCCCGUUAAUGGGUGAUAGCGUGCCUUUUGUAGAAUGAACCGGCGAGUUACGAUUACUUGCGAGGUUAAGUUGAAAAAACGGAGCCGUAGCGAAAGCGAGUCUGAAUAGGGCGAAUGAGUAAGUGGUCGUAGACCCGAAACCAUGUGAUCUACCCAUGUCCAGGUUGAAGGUGCGGUAAAACGCACUGGAGGACCGAACCCACGUACGUUGAAAAGUGCGGGGAUGAGGUGUGGGUAGCGGAGAAAUUCCAAACGAACUUGGAGAUAGCUGGUUCUCUCCGAAAUAGCUUUAGGGCUAGCCUCAGAGUAAGAAUGAUGGAGGUAGAGCACUGUUUGGACUAGGGGCCCAUCUCGGGUUACCGAAUUCAGAUAAACUCCGAAUGCCAUCCAUUCAUCUCUGGGAGUCAGACUGUGAGUGAUAAGAUCCAUAGUCGAAAGGGAAACAGCCCAGACCACCAGCUAAGGUCCCCAAAUAACUAUUAAGUGGAAAAGGAUGUGGGGUUGCACAGACAACUAGGAUGUUGGCUCAGAAGCAGCCACCAUUUAAAGAGUGCGUAAUAGCUCACUAGUCGAGUGACCCUGCGCCGAAAAUGUACCGGGGCUAAAUAGUUUACCGAAGCUGUGGAACACACCAUAAGGUGUGUUGGUAGGAGAGCGUUCUAAGGGCGUUGAAGGUAGAUCGUGAGGACUGCUGGAGCGCUUAGAAGUGAGAAUGCCGGUAUGAGUAGCGAAAGACAGGUGAGAAUCCUGUCCACCGAAUGACUAAGGUUUCCUGGGGAAGGCUCGUCCGCCCAGGGUUAGUCGGGACCUAAGCCGAGGCCGAAAGGCGUAGGCGAUGGAUAACAGGUUGAUAUUCCUGUACCCGUUGUUUUUGUUUGAGCAAUGGAGGGACGCAGGAGGCUAAGGAAUCAGACGAUUGGAAAUGUCUGUCCAAGCAACAAGUCUUGAUGUGAGUCAAAUGCUUACGUCUUCAAGGACAAGUUGUGAUGGGGAGGGAAAUAAUAGUACCGAAGUUCCUGAUGUCACACUGCCGAGAAAAGCUUCUAGUGAGAAAACAAUGGCCCGUACCGCAAACCGACACAGGUAGUCGAGGAGAGAAUCCUAAGGUGAGCGAGAGAACUCUCGUUAAGGAACUCGGCAAAAUGACCCCGUAACUUCGGGAGAAGGGGUGCUGAUCUAACGAUCAGCCGCAGUGAAUAGGCCCAAGCGACUGUUUAUCAAAAACACAGGUCUCUGCAAAAUCGAAAGAUGACGUAUAGGGGCUGACGCCUGCCCGGUGCUGGAAGGUUAAGAGGAGUGCUUAGCGUAAGCGAAGGUACGAAUUGAAGCCCCAGUAAACGGCGGCCGUAACUAUAACGGUCCUAAGGUAGCGAAAUUCCUUGUCGGGUAAGUUCCGACCCGCACGAAAGGCGUAACGAUUUGGGCACUGUCUCAACGAGAGACUCGGUGAAAUUUUAGUACCUGUGAAGAUGCAGGUUACCCGCGACAGGACGGAAAGACCCCAUGGAGCUUUACUGCAGUUUGAUAUUGAGUGUUUGUACCACAUGUACAGGAUAGGUAGGAGCCGUAGAAGUCGGGACGCUAGUUUCGACAGAGGCGCUGGUGGGAUACUACCCCUGUGUUAUGACCACUCUAACCCGCACCACUAAGCGUGGUGGGAGACAGUGUCAGAUGGGCAGUUUGACUGGGGCGGUCGCCUCCUAAAAGGUAACGGAGGCGCCCAAAGGUUCCCUCAGAAUGGUUGGAAAUCAUUCGCAGAGUGUAAAGGCACAAGGGAGCUUGACUGCGAGACCUACAAGUCGAGCAGGGACGAAAGUCGGGCUUAGUGAUCCGGUGGUUCCGCAUGGAAGGGCCAUCGCUCAACGGAUAAAAGCUACCCUGGGGAUAACAGGCUUAUCUCCCCCAAGAGUCCACAUCGACGGGGAGGUUUGGCACCUCGAUGUCGGCUCGUCGCAUCCUGGGGCUGUAGUCGGUCCCAAGGGUUGGGCUGUUCGCCCAUUAAAGCGGCACGCGAGCUGGGUUCAGAACGUCGUGAGACAGUUCGGUCCCUAUCCGUCGCGGGCGUUGGAAAUUUGAGAGGAUCUGUCCUUAGUACGAGAGGACCGGGAUGGACUUACCGCUGGUGUACCAGUUGUCUCGCCAGAGGCAUCGCUGGGUAGCUAUGUAGGGAAGGGAUAAACGCUGAAAGCAUCUAAGUGUGAAGCCCACCUCAAGAUGAGAUUUCCCAUUUCUUUAAGAAAGUAAGAUCCCUGAGAGAUGAUCAGGUAGAUAGGUCAGAAGUGGAAGUGCAGUGAUGUACGGAGCGGACUGAUACUAAUCGAUCGAGGACUUAACCAA
Molecule: ribosomal RNA, 2815 nt
Filed under: Enterococcus dongliensis
Lineage: Bacteria; Bacillati; Bacillota; Bacilli; Lactobacillales; Enterococcaceae
Description: partial 23S ribosomal RNA
Rfam family: Bacterial large subunit ribosomal RNA
Source: RNAcentral